Molecule: ribosomal RNA, 369 nt
Filed under: uncultured Eubacteriales bacterium
Lineage: Bacteria; Bacillati; Bacillota; Clostridia; Eubacteriales
Description: bacterial SSU rRNA
Rfam family: Bacterial small subunit ribosomal RNA
Source: RNAcentral
AGGGAGCAAGCGUUAUCCGGAUUUACUGGGUGUAAAGGGCGUGUAGGCGGGCAUGCAAGCCAGAAGUGAAAUCUGGGGGCUUAACCCCCAAACUGCUUUUGGAACUGCGUGUCUUGAGUGAUGGAGAGGCAGGCGGAAUUCCCAGUGUAGCGGUGAAGUGCGUAGAUAUUGGGAGGAACACCAGUGGCGAAGGCGGCCUGCUGGACAUUAACUGACGCUGAGGCGCGAAAGCGUGGGGAGCAAACAGGAUUAGAUACCCUGGUAGUCCACGCCGUAAACGAUGGAUACUAGGUGUGGGAGGUAUUGACCCCUUCCGUGCCGCAGUUAACACAAUAAGUAUCCCACCUGGGGAGUACGGCCGCAAGGUUG